RNAcentral lists this ribosomal RNA (356 nucleotides) under uncultured bacterium. RNAcentral's name for it is "bacterial SSU rRNA". It matches the Rfam family "Bacterial small subunit ribosomal RNA", at positions 148 to 507 of the family's 1533-position model. The record is from RNAcentral.
UACCGGAAACGGUGGCUAAUACCGGAUAUGACUACCUUCGUGGCAGUCGGGGGUGUGGAAAGUUUUUUCGGCCAGGGAUGUGCUCGCGGCCUAUCAGCUUGUUGGUGGGGUAAUGGCCUACCAAGGCUUCGACGGGUAGCCGGCCUGAGAGGGUGACCGGCCACACUGGGACUGAGACACGGCCCAGACUCCUACGGGAGGCAGCAGUGGGGAAUAUUGGACAAUGGGCGGAAGCCUGAUCCAGCAACGCCGCGUGAGGGAUGACGGCCUUCGGGUUGUAAACCUCGUUCAGUACCGACGAAGCGCCGAUGAUGGUGGUGACGGUAGGUACAGAAGAAGCACCGGCCAACUACGUG